Dendrobium catenatum is the source of this 923-nucleotide long non-coding RNA. RefSeq lists it as uncharacterized. Lineage: Eukaryota; Viridiplantae; Streptophyta; Magnoliopsida; Asparagales; Orchidaceae. The transcript is spliced from 2 exons. The record is from RefSeq and is a predicted model, not a curated record.
UGGCGCCGGAGUCGCCGGCGCUUAGCGGGGCGGCGGUUACAAUCUCGGUGAAUGUGGAGUGCUCGCGAAGCUCGACGCCGGCAACUUCUAUGCUUCCCUUUGCGAAUUGGCCGCCUGCGAGAAAGGCUUUUUUUAUCAGAAAGGACACCAUCUAUUCCAUUAUUGCAACUUCAACCCUUACACCUUCAUCCGCCAGCUCGCCGCCGACGACCAAUCCACCCACUUCUCCGACCGACAUCAAGCUCCACCGCCGUGGAUAUUACAUACAAACCAUGCAUAACAAUAACUACCAUUGAAUUAACUAAGUUCGUAGGAAGGAAACAGACAUACCUUGAACGGCGACGGCCUCGCGUUCAUGGAAGCAAAGAGAGAAGAAGAAGAAGAAGAAGAAGAGGGGAAGUAAGCUCCAGCAAGAAGCCAUUAGCUGCGAUACUGAUUCAGAGAAAGAGAAACAUAUAUAGAGUUUAAAAGAGAGGUGGAGAAGUCGAUAUAGCUAUCAGCGACUGGCCCGCAAUAUUUGGAAAAGCAUCCCCGUGAAGAAACGGGCUUUUCUGAUAAAGACGGUAGCUUCUCCGCCUUGAACGGUACCUUGUUUUCAUUUUUUAUUUUGUUAUUCAGCAAUUACUGAGGAAGAGUGUCAAUAAAAAAUAGAUUAUUAUGCGUCUGAAUUUAUGGGCAAAUUAUUAGGUCGGGUUGUAGCACAGAGAGAAUUAUAUGAAUUUCUCUUUAUCUACAAUAAAAAUACUGUCAAAACGCAAUCUAAGUGCAGCUACUACAGCAUAGCUGUGAUUGGACUACAUUUUGACUGUGCUUUACUAUAGAUAGAGAGAAAUUCGGAUAUAUCUGUAUCAGGUGACCGAACCUAAUAAUUUUCCAAAUUUAUGAGAUACACAAUAAAUAUAUAGUAAAUACACAUAACUGUA